This is a long non-coding RNA of Nothoprocta perdicaria, 558 nucleotides long. RefSeq lists it as uncharacterized. The record is from RefSeq and is a predicted model, not a curated record. NCBI's taxonomy places the organism in Eukaryota, Metazoa, Chordata, Aves, Tinamiformes, Tinamidae. The transcript is spliced from 4 exons.
AGAAAAGUCCAUAUGAUCUGGGAACCAGUUGUCACAAUAGACAACAGAGAUGUCUUCAUUCCAGUGAAGUCGAUUCAUCAGUGCAGCCAUUCAGGAACUUCUGAUGGAAAGAUGCCCUUGAGAUCAGAUUCUGCAGAAGAGGGAGAUACCUAACCCUGAACUUCAUAUUCUCAAACUUUGUCUAACAGAGUGAAGUCAGAAAAAUCACAGUGAUGGAAACGAGCAAGACGGCACUUGGAAUGAGCAUUAUCUCUCAAACAUAAAAGGAACAAGGGAUAGACAUCAAAGGCUAAGAAAACUGGAAUUUACAAAUUUGGCAAAACAGAUGACUUUUCUAAUUACUUUCCUCGAGAUUCAACUUUUCGUUGUGUCAAAACAGAUUUUUCUCUUAUUGUAAUGGACUUUUACUAUUUAAAUUGUCAUCAUGUGAGGAACUGGAGGACUUCUGGGCCAGUUCUGAGUGAAACUGAUUAAAAACAUUUCAGAAUAUGGUUGUGCAAAUUUUGCCAAUUUCUUUUUGUAUAUAACUCAUAGAAGAUAUCUCAAUAAAACACCACG